Molecule: ribosomal RNA, 305 nt
Filed under: uncultured bacterium
Lineage: Bacteria
Description: bacterial SSU rRNA
Rfam family: Bacterial small subunit ribosomal RNA
Source: RNAcentral
GAAACCUACGGGAGGCAGCAGUGGGGAAUAUUGCGCAAUGGGCGAAAGCCUGACGCAGCGACGCCGCGUGAUGGAUGAAGGCCUUCGGAUCGUAAACCUCUGUCAGCAGGGAGGAACGGUCACUGUGCUAAUCAGCAGUGAAUUGACGGUACCUGCAAAGGAAGAACCGGCUAACUCCGUGCCAGCAGCCGCGGAAAUACGGAGGGUGCGAGGGUUAAUCGGAAUUACUGGGCGUAAAGCGCUCGUAGGCGGUAGAUCAAGUCAAGGGUGAAAUCCCCGCGCCAAACGAGGGAACUGCCUUUGAA